GACGAACGCUGGCGGCGUGCUUAACACAUGCAAGUCGAACGGAAAGGCCCUGCUUUUGUGGGGUGCUCGAGUGGCGAACGGGUGAGUAACACGUGAGUAACCUGCCCUUGACUUUGGGAUAACUUCAGGAAACUGGGGCUAAUACCGGAUAGGAGCUCCUGCUGCAUGGUGGGGGUUGGAAAGUUUCGGCGGUUGGGGAUGGACUCGCGGCUUAUCAGCUUGUUGGUGGGGUAGUGGCUUACCAAGGCUUUGACGGGUAGCCGGCCUGAGCGGGUGACCGGCCACAUUGGGACUGAGAUACGGCACAGACUCCUACGGGAGGCAGCAGUGGGGAAUAUUGCACAAUGGGCGGAAGCCGGAUGCAGCAACGCCGCGUGCGGGAUGACGGCCUUCGGGUUGUAAACCGCUUUCGCCUGUGACGAAGCGUGAGUGACGGUAAUGGGUAAAGAAGCACCGGCUAACUACGUG
This 468-nucleotide ribosomal RNA is filed under the name uncultured bacterium. Its description in RNAcentral is "partial 16S ribosomal RNA". It matches the Rfam family "Bacterial small subunit ribosomal RNA", at positions 28 to 507 of the family's 1533-position model. The record is from RNAcentral.